GAGCUGUGCGAGCGCCGCGCCCAAACCCACGGAUCAGGAAGAGAAGUUUUCAAAUGAUUCUCUGUAAGUAUUUAUAUUUCUGUCCGUGGUUACUUGAUCGUUAAAUAACACGAAGAAACAAUACGUCGAUCGACCGGCAAAGGAGUUUAAACGCGGGGAAGUGUAAAGAAGAUCGCUGCGUAAAAGGCUCAAGAGACCAAAAACAAAGAGAAAAGUGACUGCAGCGAUCGCCGACAGAAAGAGGUGGGAAAAGUGGUCUUACUCGACAAAGUUUCUCAGGGUGAAAUGCUCCAAAAGUUACGUUCCAGAUGAGAUUCCCGGCAAGACUCACCAGACAUGAUGGCAAAGAUGAAGAGAGGCUCCCUUGAGAAGACCUGUGGGGCUCCACGACGUCCUUUUCUGCCUGGGCAAAAUGACCAAGAACGAAAUUUGGGCAAAAAUCUCCAAAAACGUUGACAUAAAAGUCUUACACCGGCAUCAGAGCAUACAACAAUAUUGUAAUAUAGCUGGGGACAUAUUAGUUUGAGAUUUUCUCCCUCCAUGCCUACUAUUUAAAACCCCUAGAACUCAAUGAUUUGACAAUGAUUUGAUUGCGCGUUACUUUCAAUUUGAAUAUUCAGAGGCAACACUCUUAUAUCGAUUUUUAAACAAAAUUGACCACAUACGGCCAUUGUACAACCACCACUGUAAUAUAAUAUAUUAUAAUUUCACAUUUUGACCCAAAAGAAAUCUUACUUUUAUUAAUUUUAUCCUCCUUUUGCACAGUCUCAGCAUCACACCCCCUCAUUAGACACAUCAGCGCUGGCGCUACUUGUGCGCAAUGCAAACGUCGCAAUUGACCAAAAGUCGGUGGCACACGUUUCUGAAGGGCACUCCGUAUGUGUAAAAUUUCUCCAAAGCCAUUUAUAAGCUAUAUUUAGGAAAAAAGCGAAUGAAAAAGGGAGACAAGUGGGCGUGGCAAAUGGCUGUGGACAACUUUGGCACCGCAGGCCUCCAAGCAAGUGAUGCAGUGCGCACUCACCUGCUGAAGGCUCCUGGCUGAGGAGCACCGGGGCGCAGGCUUUAAAUAGAAAUAAUAAACUGCGAGAUUCGUUAUUUAACACUAAUAGAGCCAUGUCACAACUUUGAAAAAUAGUGAGCAAUUUUACAUGUUGAGACUGUGACGGCAAAAAUAACAAUACAUAAGAUAAAAUAAAAUAUUCUCUUGUCCCUAUUAGGUUCUGGAAAUUUUAAGAAAAUAUGUGUUUUUUUUAUACUUGGUUUUCACUUAAUAAUUUGAUGAAGUGAUUUUCCAGUUUUUUCUUAGACUCCUUUAAAUAAAACAGCACUUGCGCUUCAGCGCGAGGGCUGGAUGUAUUCAACGUUAAAUAAAACCAGGUGUUUUAGCUGUAACCUGCCGGGUUUUAUAAAUUGUGAUGUUUGUAAGAGUGUAGGGCCUGUAAUAAUUCUAGCUGCGCUUCAGAAACGAGCGGGGAAAAGGAUGAAAUAACAAAGAAAAUUAAAGUGAAACAGGAUGGCAGACACCGGUAGAACGCAACUGAAUAUAUUUCUGAACUUUCCCUGUUGGAUCUUUUGUAGAGAACACUGAGGCUCCACGGGAACACGGUCAAGAGGACGGGGAGCACAGGCGGGUGUUCCAGGAGACAAGUUCAUCCUGACCAUACAAAUGCGCAAGACCAACAACACUGGAGGAUAUGAAGGUGUCCAUCAUAAAGAGGGCAUCCAACAACUGUCCAGAGAUAUGUGUCCGGAAGUUUAAGGAAGGGAUAAACUAAAGGUGAGACAUGUAAAAGUGGAGUGUGCAAUAAAGUUUGAUGCACUGAAAUUCCUCCCCACUCGUGUGGUAUCGUUUCUCAAGACUGUUUUGAUUCAUUUUUAUUUUUACUGUUGGAAAAACCGCCCUCUAGGGGAAAUUACAAGUACAGCACAGGUUGGAUGAGUGGCAGAAGCAGUUAAAAAUGAUUGAUAUGUCAAACUUUAUAAACAAAAAGAAACACAUGGUCUUCCAGGGAUGAGUGGAAAACACGGUCAGGGAAUCAGGAGGCUGGUGCGGAGUGGCAGAAGCCUACCAGGGUUGCAGGGCUCAAACCAAGGAAAUGGCUCUCAAUUCAUUGGCAAAUCGGGAGUGUGAUGAGUGA
Molecule: long non-coding RNA, 2138 nt
Organism: Synchiropus splendidus (mandarinfish)
Lineage: Eukaryota; Metazoa; Chordata; Actinopteri; Syngnathiformes; Callionymidae
Exons: 3
Source: RefSeq, a predicted model, not a curated record